CCUACGGGAGGCAGCAGUGAGGAAUAUUGGUCAAUGGUCGGGAGACUGAACCAGCCAAGCCGCGUGAGGGAGGAAGGUACAGAGUAUCGUAAACCUCUUUUGUCAGGGAACAAAGGCGGGGACGUGUCCCCGGCUGAGUGUACCUGAAGAAAAAGCAUCGGCUAACUCCGUGCCAGCAGCCGCGGUAAUACGGAGGAUGCGAGCGUUAUCCGGAUUUAUUGGGUUUAAAGGGUGCGCAGGCGGUCUGUUAAGUCAGCGGUCAAAGCCCGGGGCUCAACCCCGGCCCGCCGUUGAAACUGGCAGUCUCGAGUGGGAGAGAAGUAGGCGGAAUGCGCGGUGUAGCGGUGAAAUGCAUAGAUAUCGCGCAGAACUCCGAUUGCGAAGGCAGCAUGCCGGCUCCACACUGACGCUGAGGCACGAAAGCGUGGGUAUCGAACAGGAUUAGAUACCCGUGUAGUC
Molecule: ribosomal RNA, 459 nt
Filed under: uncultured bacterium
Lineage: Bacteria
Description: partial 16S ribosomal RNA
Rfam family: Bacterial small subunit ribosomal RNA
Source: RNAcentral